GUGGAUUAGAUACCCUAGUAGUCCAUGCCGUAAACGAUGAACACUAGGUUUCGCCCUCGUUAACGGGGCGGAGCCGCAGCUAACGCGUUAAGUGUUCCGCCUGGGGAAUACGGUCGCAAGACUGAAACUCAAAGGAAUUGACGGGGGCCCGCACAAGCGGUGGAGCAUGUGGUUUAAUUCGACGCAACGCGCAGAACCUUACCAGGACUUGACAUGGGAAGGACAGGACGAGAGAUCGUUCCUCUCCAGCAAUGGAGCCUUCCACACAGGUGCUGCACGGCCGUCGACAGCU
Molecule: ribosomal RNA, 292 nt
Filed under: uncultured bacterium
Lineage: Bacteria
Description: partial 16S ribosomal RNA
Rfam family: Bacterial small subunit ribosomal RNA
Source: RNAcentral